This 2567-nucleotide ribosomal RNA is filed under the name Escherichia coli. Its description in RNAcentral is "partial 23S ribosomal RNA". It matches the Rfam family "Bacterial large subunit ribosomal RNA", at positions 367 to 2916 of the family's 2925-position model. Lineage: Bacteria; Pseudomonadati; Pseudomonadota; Gammaproteobacteria; Enterobacterales; Enterobacteriaceae. The record is from RNAcentral.
ACAGCCCCGUACACAAAAAUGCACAUACUGUGAGCUCGAUGAGUAGGGCGGGACACGUGGUAUCCUGUCUGAAUAUGGGGGGACCAUCCUCCAAGGCUAAAUACUCCUGACUGACCGAUAGUGAACCAGUACCGUGAGGGAAAGGCGAAAAGAACCCCGGCGAGGGGAGUGAAAAAGAACCUGAAACCGUGUACGUACAAGCAGUGGGAGCCUCUUUAUGGGGUGACUGCGUACCUUUUGUAUAAUGGGUCAGCGACUUAUAUUCUGUAGCAAGGUUAACCGAAUAGGGGAGCCGAAGGGAAACCGAGUCUUAACUGGGCGUUAAGUUGCAGGGUAUAGACCCGAAACCCGGUGAUCUAGCCAUGGGCAGGUUGAAGGUUGGGUAACACUAACUGGAGGACCGAACCGACUAAUGUUGAAAAAUUAGCGGAUGACUUGUGGCUGGGGGUGAAAGGCCAAUCAAACCGGGAGAUAGCUGGUUCUCCCCGAAAGCUAUUUAGGUAGCGCCUCGUGAAUUCAUCUCCGGGGGUAGAGCACUGUUUCGGCAAGGGGGUCAUCCCGACUUACCAACCCGAUGCAAACUGCGAAUACCGGAGAAUGUUAUCACGGGAGACACACGGCGGGUGCUAACGUCCGUCGUGAAGAGGGAAACAACCCAGACCGCCAGCUAAGGUCCCAAAGUCAUGGUUAAGUGGGAAACGAUGUGGGAAGGCCCAGACAGCCAGGAUGUUGGCUUAGAAGCAGCCAUCAUUUAAAGAAAGCGUAAUAGCUCACUGGUCGAGUCGGCCUGCGCGGAAGAUGUAACGGGGCUAAACCAUGCACCGAAGCUGCGGCAGCGACGCUUAUGCGUUGUUGGGUAGGGGAGCGUUCUGUAAGCCUGCGAAGGUGUGCUGUGAGGCAUGCUGGAGGUAUCAGAAGUGCGAAUGCUGACAUAAGUAACGAUAAAGCGGGUGAAAAGCCCGCUCGCCGGAAGACCAAGGGUUCCUGUCCAACGUUAAUCGGGGCAGGGUGAGUCGACCCCUAAGGCGAGGCCGAAAGGCGUAGUCGAUGGGAAACAGGUUAAUAUUCCUGUACUUGGUGUUACUGCGAAGGGGGGACGGAGAAGGCUAUGUUGGCCGGGCGACGGUUGUCCCGGUUUAAGCGUGUAGGCUGGUUUUCCAGGCAAAUCCGGAAAAUCAAGGCUGAGGCGUGAUGACGAGGCACUACGGUGCUGAAGCAACAAAUGCCCUGCUUCCAGGAAAAGCCUCUAAGCAUCAGGUAACAUCAAAUCGUACCCCAAACCGACACAGGUGGUCAGGUAGAGAAUACCAAGGCGCUUGAGAGAACUCGGGUGAAGGAACUAGGCAAAAUGGUGCCGUAACUUCGGGAGAAGGCACGCUGAUAUGUAGGUGAAGCGACUUGCUCGUGGAGCUGAAAUCAGUCGAAGAUACCAGCUGGCUGCAACUGUUUAUUAAAAACACAGCACUGUGCAAACACGAAAGUGGACGUAUACGGUGUGACGCCUGCCCGGUGCCGGAAGGUUAAUUGAUGGGGUUAGCGGUAACGCGAAGCUCUUGAUCGAAGCCCCGGUAAACGGCGGCCGUAACUAUAACGGUCCUAAGGUAGCGAAAUUCCUUGUCGGGUAAGUUCCGACCUGCACGAAUGGCGUAAUGAUGGCCAGGCUGUCUCCACCCGAGACUCAGUGAAAUUGAACUCGCUGUGAAGAUGCAGUGUACCCGCGGCAAGACGGAAAGACCCCGUGAACCUUUACUAUAGCUUGACACUGAACAUUGAGCCUUGAUGUGUAGGAUAGGUGGGAGGCUUUGAAGUGUGGACGCCAGUCUGCAUGGAGCCGGCCUUGAAAUACCACCCUUUAAUGUUUGAUGUUCUAACGUUGGCCCCUGAUCGGGGUUGCGGACAGUGUCUGGUGGGUAGUUUGACUGGGGCGGUCUCCUCCUAAAGAGUAACGGAGGAGCACGAAGGUUGGCUAAUCCUGGUCGGACAUCAGGAGGUUAGUGCAAUGGCAUAAGCCAGCUUGACUGCGAGCGUGACGGCGCGAGCAGGUGCGAAAGCAGGUCAUAGUGAUCCGGUGGUUCUGAAUGGAAGGGCCAUCGCUCAACGGAUAAAAGGUACUCCGGGGAUAACAGGCUGAUACCGCCCAAGAGUUCAUAUCGACGGCGGUGUUUGGCACCUCGAUGUCGGCUCAUCACAUCCUGGGGCUGAAGUAGGUCCCAAGGGUAUGGCUGUUCGCCAUUUAAAGUGGUACGCGAGCUGGGUUUAGAACGUCGUGAGACAGUUCGGUCCCUAUCUGCCGUGGGCGCUGGAGAACUGAGGGGGGCUGCUCCUAGUACGAGAGGACCGGAGUGGACGCAUCACUGGUGUUCGGGUUGUCAUGCCAAUGGCACUGCCCGGUAGCUAAAUGCGGAAGAGAUAAGUGCUGAAAGCAUCUAAGCACGAAACUUGCCCCGAGAUGAGUUCUCCCUGAGACUUUAAGUCUCCUGAAGGAACGUUGAAGACGACGACGUUGAUAGGCCGGGUGUGUAAGCGCAGCGAUGCGUUGAGCUAACCGGUACUAAUGAACCGUGAGG